GAAAAUAUUAUUAUUUGAACAUAACAUCGAUAGCACAAAGUUCAAACAAAAAAAACAUCCAUAGCAUGGGCAAUGUUUUUUUUUGUCAUCUGCUGAAUUUAUUAGAACAUUUGAACCAUUGUUACGGCACAAAACUGACAAAGAAUGCAAUCCUUUCAAAACCAAAAGUCGAGAGUUAAUAAGUUGUACAUUUUGAAGACAAAGUCCCAUAAUGUAGAAGCAUACUAACACGUUCGAAAUAUAAAACCAAACCACAUACUGAAAUAAAAGAGACCAUUUGCAGUGCUUUCGAAAGCGAAGAAGCUGAUAAUAAACUCCAUAGCGAUGACAAUCAAACACCAUUACGAUAUAGAUGCUUGAGCUGACCACAAGAACCACAAACUUAAGAAGACCAAAAACCAACACAUGUCACAACUACAAACCCAAAGGGUACACACUCGGCAGAACAAUCGCAAGACCAAAGCGAAAACAGAGCCAAUAACUACGAACCACACAACUGUCACCAUGAACCAGAGACACGA
This 521-nucleotide long non-coding RNA is filed under the name Brassica napus (rape). RNAcentral describes it as "long non-coding RNA (BNAP_LNC019822)". The record is from RNAcentral. Lineage: Eukaryota; Viridiplantae; Streptophyta; Magnoliopsida; Brassicales; Brassicaceae.